Clarias gariepinus (North African catfish) is the source of this 212-nucleotide small nucleolar RNA. RefSeq annotates it as small nucleolar RNA U3. The record is from RefSeq and is a predicted model, not a curated record. The transcript has a single exon. NCBI's taxonomy places the organism in Eukaryota, Metazoa, Chordata, Actinopteri, Siluriformes, Clariidae.
AAGACAAUACUUUCAGGUAUUAUUUCUAUAGGUUCUAACUAGGAAAUGUGAUUGGAAAGUUUUGUCUUCUUGAUCAUCUUGAUGAUGAGUCAUAAUGUACUUUUCUGAUCUUGAAUUAGAUUAUAGCUCAUGCUUCAUGUGUGAGCUAUAAUCAUUAAUGAAUGUUCUGUUUCUUAUGAAGCUUGGGAAGAAGAGUAUAUGAUCAGAGUGUU